RNAcentral lists this ribosomal RNA (1044 nucleotides) under uncultured euryarchaeote. RNAcentral's name for it is "bacterial SSU rRNA". It matches the Rfam family "Archaeal small subunit ribosomal RNA", at positions 1 to 1053 of the family's 1478-position model. Lineage: Archaea; Methanobacteriati; Methanobacteriota. The record is from RNAcentral.
UCUGGUUGAUCCUGCCAGAGGUCACUGCUAUUGGUGUUCGACUAAGCCAUGCAAGUCAUAUGUUCCUCGUGAACAUGGCAUACUGCUCAGUAACACGUGGAUAACCUGCCCUAGGGAAGGGGAUAAUCCCGGGAAACUGGGGAUAAUACCCUAUAGGUUACAGAUGCUGGAAUGCUCUGUAAUCAAAAGUUCCGGCGCCCUAGGAUGGAUCUGCGGCCGAUUAGGUUGUUGUUGGGGUAAUGGCCCAACAAGCCAGUAAUCGGUACGGGUUGUGGGAGCAAGAGCCCGGAGUUGGAUUCUGAGACACGAAUCCAGGCCCUACGGGGCGCAGCAGGCGCGAAAACUUUACAAUGCGGGCAACCGUGAUAAGGGAACCUCGAGUGCCUGUAAAUGCAGGCUGUUCAGAUGCCUAAAACACAUCUGGAGAAAGGGCCGGGCAAGACCGGUGCCAGCCGCCGCGGUAAUACCGGCGGCUCGAGUGGUGGCCACUUUUAUUGGGCUUAAAGCGUUCGUAGCUGGGUUGUUAAGUCUCUUGGGAAAUCUGGCGGCUUAACCGUCAGGCGUCUAAGGGAUACUGGCAAUCUUGGAACCGGGAGAGGUGAGGGGUACUUCGGGGGUAGGAGUGAAAUCCUGUAAUCCUCGAGGGACCACCUGUGGCGAAGGCGCCUCACCAGAACGGCUUCGACAGUGAGGGACGAAAGCUGGGGGAGCAAACCGGAUUAGAUACCCGGGUAGUCCCAGCCGUAAACUAUGCGCGUUAGGUGUAUCGGUGACCACGAGUUACCGAGGUGCCGAAGGGAAACCGUGAAACGUGCCGCCUGGGAAGUACGGUCGCAAGGCUGAAACUUAAAGGAAUUGGCGGGGGAGCACCACAACAGGUGGAGCCUGCGGUUUAAUUGGACUCAACGCCGGGAAGCUCACCGGAUAGGACAGCAGAAUGAUUGCCGGGCUGAAGACCCUGCAUGACUAGCUGAGAGGAGGUGCAUGGCCGUCGUCAGUUCGUACUGUGAAGCAUCCUGUUAAGUCAGGCAACGAGCGAGACCC